AACAACUACUACCAGUACUACAACACUACAACACUACACCAGUACUACAACUACUCCAACUACAACAACUACCACCAGUACUCCAAUUACUACACCUACAUCAACUACACCCAGUAAACCAUCAUAUGUUACAGUUCUCAAAUUGAAGAUGACCUCUUUGGUGGACUUGUCUAAAAUUGAUAGAGAUACAUUCCUUACACAGAUAAAAAAUGCACUGAUAUCCAAAGGGCUGCCCCAACAGACGGUCAUCCGACUCAUAAACAGCAAACCAGAGAUUGGUGCAACUGGCACAACAUAAACAUUUGACAGCUUCGAGAGCUUUUUCCUUUCAGCUGUUGAAUGAAGUUUUGUCUUCACUGUUCUUUAACACACAUUUUUAAUAAUUACAAUCACUUCUCAAGAGCAGCCUUUAAAAGCAACACAUUAGUCUGACUCUCCAGUGCUAUAAUCUGAAAUGAAUUAAUUUGUACUUUUGUUAGAUUGUGAAGAUUAAAUGUUAUUUUGCACUGAGUAUCCUUAGUCUAGCACAGAUACACUGAUUGAUUAUCCACAGUGACGGGAAUAACGGCGUUGCAAGUGACGGCGUUACUUUUUUCAGUAACAAGUAAUCUAACUAAUUACUAUUCCUAUCGUACAACGCCAUUACUGUUACUAACAAGAAAAUGCAGUGCGGUCACGUUAGUAUUUUUCAACAGACGGUUGAAGCUGCGUUCAGCUUAACACACGGAAGUAGUUGUCUACGUAAAUAAUCAUGGUGCUACAGCUUUAAGCAGCUGCGCGCCUUGUGUAGUUAGUGUGUAGUGUUGUGGAUAGUUUUGUGUUGUGUGUCAAAACAAUG
This is a long non-coding RNA of Haplochromis burtoni (Burton's mouthbrooder), 838 nucleotides long. RefSeq lists it as uncharacterized. The record is from RefSeq and is a predicted model, not a curated record. The transcript has 3 exons. NCBI's taxonomy places the organism in Eukaryota, Metazoa, Chordata, Actinopteri, Cichliformes, Cichlidae.